RNAcentral lists this ribosomal RNA (429 nucleotides) under Verrucomicrobiota bacterium. RNAcentral's name for it is "Verrucomicrobia bacterium partial 16S ribosomal RNA". It matches the Rfam family "Bacterial small subunit ribosomal RNA", at positions 355 to 776 of the family's 1533-position model. Lineage: Bacteria; Pseudomonadati; Verrucomicrobiota. The record is from RNAcentral.
UAGGGAAUCUUCCGCAAUGGACGAAAGUCUGACGGAGCAACGCCGCGUGAGUGAAGAAGGAUUUCGGUUCGUAAAACUCUGUUGUUAGGGAAGAAAAAAUGUAUAGUAACUAUAUACAAAAGAGACGGUACCUAACCAGAAAGCCACGGCUAACUACGUGCCAGCAGCCGCGGUAAUACGUAGGUGGCAAGCGUUGUCCGGAAUUAUUGGGCGUACAUCGCGCGCAGGUGGUUUAGAAAGUCUGAUGUGAAAGCCCACGGCUCAACCGUGGAGGGUAAUUGGAAACGAAUAAACUUGAGUGCAGGAGAGAAAAGUGGAAUUCCUAGUAUAGCGGUGAAAUGCGUAGAGAUUAGGAGGAACACCGGUAGCGAAAGCGGCUUUUUGGCCUGAAACAGACACUGAGGCGCGAAAGCGUGGAGAGCAAACAGG